Molecule: long non-coding RNA, 2925 nt
Filed under: Homo sapiens (human)
Lineage: Eukaryota; Metazoa; Chordata; Mammalia; Primates; Hominidae
Description: HSALNT0258626
Source: RNAcentral
UCAGAAAUGUGAAAGUCCAAAAAAUCAUCUGGAAAGGCCAACCUUAGGUUCUACAAUAGUGAUCUUAUCUAUAGGAGUAAUUGAGGAAGUCACUCAAAUCUUAUGAAAUCUUGCACAAAUCUUGUGACCUCCAAAACAAUGGCUGGCUAUUGUUUAAGUAUGCCUACAUCUUAGCAGAAUUUGGGCUCCUCCCGGAAUCCUAACAUUGUGGUCUUUCAUUAGUUUUAUAGGGCAGUUUAGUUUUGGGAAGGGCUAUUUUCAUCCUUGCUUUAAAGUUAAACUACAAAUAAAUUCCUCCCGUGGUUAGCCUGGCUUCUGCCCAGGAAUGAGCAAGGACAGCCAGCCUGUGAGGCUGGAGGCAAGAUGGAGUCAGCUAUGUUAGGCUUCUCUCACUGCCAUCAUCUUUGCAAAGGUGGUUUCACACUCACUCAGACUGGGACGUUGUACACAUGCCAAUCAACCUAACAUGCACAUCUUUGGAAUGCAGGAGGAAACCAGAGGACCCGGAGAAAACCCACACAGAUAAAUAAUUUGCAACUUCCUUGUCUGCCAAGACUACUGUGAACAUAUACUCUGGUGACCCGGACAUUGUUACAAGCCUCAGAGCAUGGAUCCUUCUGGCAGAGAAAAGAUUGUCAUAAGCAUAGACCUUUAGCUUGAUGCCUUCAUGAGAUAAAGGGGAAACUGGAGCUUGGAACUUGAUUUCAUCCACAGGAACGGCUGGAAAAUCAUCUUCAAUCAUUUCACCUGGAAGUCUCCCAAGAGGACAUGAGUAUCCUGUUAAGACAUCCUUUUAUGUUUUCAGUAGCUUUGCAGUUUUGUCUUUGAUUCUUCAUGCUCAAGCAUUUGCGGGCCUUGAUCCUGGAGAGACUGCCCCUUCCAGCACUAGAGAUAAUUCCUAGAGAUAGCCAAGGACUCCCCUGCAAGCAUGCCUUUAACAUACAAACCAACCAAUCCAGAGCCCAACCCACAACCAUCUCCUUUAUCAAAUUCUCACACACCAAGCCAAUAUUCCCCAUGUACUAAGUCACCCCAGGGCCAGGUACAGGACAACCAGAGAUCUUUCCUAUAGCCCAGAAACAGCUGGAAUUAUUCAGACCAUCCAAUCCUAGGCAUACUCAGUGUCUCUACCUUGACUCGCUCAGGACUGGAGACAGACACUGGUCCCGGGGAUGGGAGCCACCCCCAGUCCAGUAGUAGGAAGCUUAUUCUUCUGUACACAGUGAAGCUGUCUCCUCUUCCAUCACAACUCCCUGCUGGGAGUUGCUCAAGGCAAGAAGACCCGGUGCCAGCAAGACUGAAACAAAAAAGCAAAAGAGCUUUUAAAAGCAAGCCUUCUUCUGACUCAGAACCUGCUCCCGGACCUCCCCGUGGUCUCCCUGGACUGGUGCUGUGACUCUGGGGGAACGCCAGGGAAGGAAGAGAGGAAAACCUUGUUAUUGAUGCUAAAUGAUACCCUCUCAAACAAGAGAGUUCUUCUCAUCUUCUGUUUUCUAUGAAGCAAGGAUAAUAAGAAGCUUCAAAUUGGAACAUGUUUUAUUUUUCAAAACUUAAAGAGCUUAAAGUAAUUUAUACACACGCUUUUAAAAAUUUUAAGAAGUACUGAAAGGCUUGCAGUGAAAAGCUCGUCUUCUGCUCCUCAGAGCGAUCACUUUGUAAAAUGAAAUUUUUAUUGAGGUAAAAUUUACAUAUGGUGAAAUACGUACACAGACUUUAAGUCUUCAAGCCAAGUGGUUUUGAUAAAAAUUGGUGCAGUGGUGUAACUACCGCCACGUUCAAGACACACAUCAUUUCUAUCACCCCUGAAAAUACCUUCACGCCCCUUGGCCAUGCUAUACAGGAAAGCAAAAGUAAUUCACCAUAAUGACCAUGAAAAUGACCACUGAGUAGAAGAAUUGUUAUGGAAAUAUCUUUUACUAUUGUUUUUAAAAGAUGAAAUAGUUAUAAAUAUGGUUAUAUUUUGGAUCCACUAGAGGGAGUAAUAAAGUCCAAUUGAUCAAUUUUUUAUUUUAUCUCGUGUUUUUGAUAUCAUUCUUCAAGAAACCUAAGAUCACUGAUUUACUCAUGCUUUCUUCUAAGAGUUUCACAGUUUUAGCUCUUACAUUAUAGUCCAUGAUCCAUUUCAAGUUUAAUUUUGUGUAUGGUGUGAGGGAAGGGUCCACACAUACUUUUACAUGUGGCUGUACAAUUGUCCCAGCAACAUUCGUUGAAAAGAUUAUUCUUUCCCCCAUUGGAUUGUUUGGGUACCCUUGUUGAAAAGCAAUUGAUAAUGACUGUAAAGGGUUAUUUCUGGACUCUGAAUUCUCUUCCAUUGAUCUAAAUGUCUCUCCUUAUGUCAGCACCACACUGUCUUGAGUAUAGGAGUUUUGUAUUAAGCUUUGAAAUCAGGGUGAAUAAGUCCUCCAACUUUGUUUUUCAUUUCCAGAUUGUUUUUGCUAUUCUGUGGAUUUUGCAUUUCUAUAUGAACUUUAGAUCAGUUUGUCAAUUUCUACAAAAAUAUCCAACUGAGGUUUUAAUAAGGAUUGCAUUGAGUCUUAGAUCAAUUUGUGGAGAAUUGUCAUCCUAAUAAUACCAAGUCUUCCAGCCUUUGAAAAUGUAAUGUCUCUCUCCAUUUAUUUAGAUCUUCUUAAUUUCUUUCAACAAAGUUUUGUAGUUUUCAGAGUGUAAGCUUUGCACUUCUUUUGUUAAAUUUGUCCCUAAAUAUUUUAUUCUUUUUGAUUCCAUAUUGUGAAUGGAACUGCUUUCUUAAUUUCAUUUUAGAUUGCCAUUGUUAACGUAUAGACAUACAAUUGAUUUCUCUAUGUUGAUUUAUCCUGCCGCCUUGCUGAAUUCAUUUAUUAGUCAUUUUUUAAAAAUAGAUUUUUUAAAGGAUUUUCUGUAUAUGAGAUUAUGUUGUCUGAAAAUAAAGAUAGUUCUAUUUCAGAC